Molecule: long non-coding RNA, 2731 nt
Filed under: Homo sapiens (human)
Lineage: Eukaryota; Metazoa; Chordata; Mammalia; Primates; Hominidae
Description: non-protein coding lnc-SLC16A3-2:4
Source: RNAcentral
CCCGCCCCGCCGGGUUCCGCGCUGCGCCCGGGUCCGAGGGGCGCCCCGGCCGACCCGACCACCGCCGCAGAUCGAAGGAGGGAGCCCGGCCUCCUCACCGGUCAGCGGGGCGACUCCGGACGGGGCUCCGGGCUAUGGGGACGGCGGGUUCCGCCGCGCGAGGCGCCCCCACCUUCGCCGCCCCCGGCCCGGCCGAGGGUCCCCAGGCGCCCGCUUCCUGAGGCCGCCCGGCUCGCGGUCCCGAAGGGUUGACUUGAGCUUUUGCCCUGAGAUGAAGGGAGCACGGGGCGGCCGAGGCUGCCCGUGGGGGUCUGUUCGGGCCGGGGGCGCCACGAAGUCCUGCCUAAGGGUCGGCUGCGGCCACCGGGGCACGAGUUCCCGGCGCUGCCCACGGGCUCGGAGACCGGCGGGGCCCAGGGGCCGUGCGCGCGGUCGCUCAGACCCUGAUUAGGGAACUGGGGGAAGGAGGGGGGUCGGGACCCACCGAGGCCCGAAGUCGCCCCCACCAUCCUGUGGGAACAACAUCCUCAGGCACAGCCAUUCCCAACCAUUCACAUCCUCAGAAAAAGGCACGUGUCCGUAUCCAUCUGCGGAUGGAUGAACAGAGCCCGGCCCCGGGACAGAGCAGCCUGGCUCACCCGAACCCUCAGCCCGCAAUUCUGCGUGGGAGUGGAGGGGGUGUUUGGUGUCUGGGAAUUCCCCUGGUGGGGCAAUAAGCCAGGGGUCUGGUGUCAUCCUCCACCCACAUUGUUAACACUGGAUCACUCCUCUCCGUGCCGUGCCUGCAGCCCAGGCACCCUGCAGCCUGUCCUCCCCGAACCAUGCGUCCUGGUAGAGCUGUCUCCCUCGCCCACAGUCCUCAGUCCCGCCUCACACACCAAACCCUCUUCUGCCUCAGGUCCUUUGCGCCAGUUGCCUCUGCCUAGACUUGGUUCCCUGGAUGCCCCCUCCCCACCCCAUGUGUAUGUCCGGCUCCCUGGACCCACCCCCCACACUGUGUGUCUAGCCCCCUGGACCCACCCCCCACUCUGUGUCUAGUCCCCUGGACUCCCCUCCCCACCCCCUGUGUCUAGCUCCCUGGACCCCCAACCUGGCCCAUGUGUCCAACUCCCAGGACCCCCCCACCCUGUGUCCAGCUCCCUGGUUUCCCCCACCACCCCAUGUGUUUGGCUCCCUGUCCUGCUGCCUUCUCAGUGCUUGUGCACCCCCAGCCUCAUCAGACUUGUCACUCUAUUAGAACAGGAUGUAGGGCCUGGACUGUUGGCUCCCUGCUACCCCCACCCACAGGACAGUGCUGGGGUUGACCCGACUUUGGCUGCACAUUUGACUGGCCCCUGGAUCAGCUCUAGGACUAGAUGUACCCAAAAGGAUGCCCACAUCCUUGCCUCAGCUCCUGCCUCUGCCCACCCAGAGAGCUGCCUUGCCCCCAUGUCCACGAUGCAGCCACCAGGCCUGGGUAAGCGUGGGUGUCCGAGACGGGCUGGGACACCCAGAAGAGGAGCCAGGACUUGCUUGGUCUGUAUCCCGGCUCUGCAUGCCUCAGUGUCCCUGCCUGUAAAGUGGGAUCUAUGGGAACCCAUGUGUGGGCCGGGCACAGUGCUCACACCUGUGAACCCAGCACCUUGGGAGGCCAAAGGGAGGAUCCUUUGAGCUCGGGAGACAGGGUCUCGCUCUGUUGCCCAGGCUGUAGUUCAGCGGCGUGAUCUCAGCUCACUGCAGCCUCCGCCUCCCAGGUUCAAGCGAUUCUCCUGCCUCAGCUUCCUGAGUAACUGGGAUUACAGGCACUUGCCACCAUGCCCAGCUAAUUUUGUAUUUUUAGUAGAGAUGGGGUUUUGCCAUGUUGGCCAGGCUGGUCUCAAACUCCUGACCUCAAGUGAUCUGCCUGCCUCGGCCUCCCAAAGUGCUGUGAUUACAGGUGUGAGUCAUCAUGCCUGGCCAAAAAAAAUUUUUUUAAAUUAACCGGGUGUGAUGGCACAUGCCUGUGGUCCCAGCUACCUGAGGCCAAGGUGGGAAGAUCACUUGAACACAGCACUUCGAGGCCACAGUGAACUAUGAUCGCGCCACUGCACUCCAGCCUGGGUGACAGAGCAAGACCCUGUCUCCAAAAAAAACCCUCUAAACCUAUGUGUUAUGGAUAGGGCCUCUAAGAAGGUAAUUAAAGUUACGUGAGUCCUAAGGGUGGGACCCUGAACUGUUGUCCUUAAAAGAAGAGGAAGAGACACCAGGAGUGAGCACACAGAGGAGAGGCCACAUGAGGACGCAGGGAGAGGGUGCCGUCUGCAAGCCAUGGAGAGGCCUCAGGAGGAACCCACCCUGCCGGCAGCCUGAUCCCUGACAUCCAGACUCCGGAAGUGAGAAAAUAAAUGUCGUUUAAGCCGCCCAGGCUGUGGUGUUGAGUUAUGCGGCCCUAGCAGGUCAUUUGUCACGUCAUGGGUAUCUGGACCUGGAAUCGUGUGCUGGCCCAAGUCAGCAGCAUGGCACCCAUGGUCACCCCUUCAGCUGAGCCACAUGCCCGGGUGCCCCAGGGACAGAGCAGGGUGUGCCACGGGCACUGCCUGGUUCCUGAAGCUGUGGGGCAGGCCGGUCUGGCCCUCACAGCCUGUGCUCUGAUUCGAGGGCCGUUCCGUUGGGUUGAGCUCCACGGUCCCAGAGCGCCCGCCGUCAGCUCAGGCCCGAGGCUACACCUACUGAAUCCCCCCAGCACUGCAGCACCCCUCCCCUUCCUUCCCUG